UGUGUGUGUGUGUGUGUGCGUGUGUUCUCAUUUCCGCUUCCCCUUUCUGAGCUGGCAACAGCAGUUUAAUGAGGACAGAGAGAAAGGUACAACAUGCAAUAUGAUAUUUUGUCAUUGUCCUCACUCAGACCCCGAUACCUGGGAAGGGCUUGGCCCGACUUUGCUAACUGCUCUGCCUCAAACUCUGCUCUCUGCCUGCAGACCCGUCCCAUUCUCGUGCUUGUAACUGUGAACUAGUGGAAAGACCCCGCCUAAACCGGUGCUGCUUUGUGUGGGGGGACUACUGUCCUCCGAAGCUGCAGGAGAAAGCUGGCCAGGAGAUAAGCUACAGCAAGACAGGCUGGGCGUCGAUAGGAGGGAGAAGUCACACGCUGGACGGUGCCAGGCCAGCUUCACUGGAAGGCUCAAGAGUGAUAACCAUCUGUGGGGGUUGUCUCUCAGGCUGUACAUCUCAGAGGAGGAUGGAGGGGUAUGUUGACCACUUAAUGACUUACGUCAUCUCGGGUGGGGGAGGGUCUGUGCCCCUCCAGCAUCCCUUGUCUUACUGGCAGCCGGGCUCAGCAUGUCACCACCUACAUGACUUUUGGGGAAGGUAGAGGAGUGGAAAGAUGGUCCACACUGGGGUUUUCCCAGGCCCCUGCUAUGCUGCUGAGCUUUCCAGUGGGUGGAGAAGAGGCGGGUCCCCUACACAGAACAGCGACAAGAUAAAAGAGCCCCCCAGAAAUGGUUUGAUAAGAUCAUGAGCAUUUAUAAGUACCAGUGACUCUACCACAAGUGGCUGCCUGUCUAGGAGAGAGGACUUUUGAGACAGUAUGUAGCAGGUGCUGAGGGUAGGAAGUUGGAGGUGGGAGGCUUUCAGCUUAUGUGUCUGAGCUGCAGAUUGCCGGGUGUUGGGCUUGAGUGAUUGGAGCUGAAGAUCUGGUAUGAUUCUCCUGUAACGGGAAGCAGUACUAGGAGGAGGGUAGGCCAGGUUUAUUAUCUAUCUCUACUAGAAUAUCAUCAGAGAUAACAAGCAGAAGAUGUAGCAAGAGAGAUAGAAAGAGACCUAACAAAUGAUUUCUUAUUCACGGGCACCGCGGGGAGUUUAGAAACUCUUUACAGCCCUACUCACAGCUGUUUCUCAUAACUCCCCUGGCCCCUGAAAGGAGGAUGGAGCCCUGGGAUUAAGCAUUACGUAGCAGCCCUGGGAAUCAACACAGUCAUUUUUAGUUCAGGGCUUCUAAUAGAGAAUGGAGAGGAAGUUUGGU
RNAcentral lists this long non-coding RNA (1247 nucleotides) under Ursus maritimus (polar bear). Its description in RNAcentral is "lncRNA (ENSUMAG00000001503.1)". Lineage: Eukaryota; Metazoa; Chordata; Mammalia; Carnivora; Ursidae. The record is from RNAcentral.